CUCUCCAUGACUCGUGGGCUGCUCUGUGAUCAGCCAGCCUGUGAUCUUGCGCACUUGGAGAGAAUGUGGGGAUGUGGAUGAUAGCCCCAUCAAAAGAGGUGAUCUCAAACUGCAGCUAAGGCUAAAUGUAAAGACAUUCCCCUCUCAUGGCUAGGCUAAAAAAGUUGAGGGGUUGGGGGUGUUGAUAUUUUAUUGGAAAAAGUGAGUAGAGAGGUAUCGGCUUCAUCCUUUCAAUUUCUUUUACCCUUCUUAUGGAUUGGACCAAAACCCCAUUUUCGUUCUUUUUCUGCAUUUAGGGGCGGGGGAGGGAGAUAAUUUUUUUGUAGUGUCUGUCCACGUGAGACAUGUUUGUGCAUGUAUUAUAAGUGUAGGUAUAUAAUAUAUUGUGAUAUAUUUCGUCGCAAUUAUAGAAGAUAACCAGAAUGUUUUUGUAGAACCGUAUUUAUUGUUUCAGUCAGUAUAUUACCUGGAAUCGGACUCUAACUGGUCAAAUCUUACCACAAAGAUGGAGAUGUAGGGGGCACUUUAAAGAAAGGAAGAAAAAAACCCAAACCCAUGAACUUCUCAGCAGUUUGUGGUGGGUAAAUGGUGCAGAGCCAGAGGUGUUCUGCUAGUAACUGUACAUGGUCCAUUGAUUGAAAAGUACAGAUUCAACAUACCAAAACAUUCUGGUCAUAAUACUACUGAAAGUGAGUAUGCUCUGAGGAAAAAAGUAGAUUUUAUAUAUAGUGGGCUGGAGUGAAAUAUAUUUAUACUAUAGAGAGCCUCCCCCUCCUCCCAAAUAGUUUAAAAAUAUACAGUGCUACAAAUUCUUUCAAAGUUAUUUGUCCUUGCAGUUAAGUAGGAUAAAUAUAUGUUAUUCCAAAACAGUAUGCAUUCUAACUGAUGGUAGGCUCGAUCAUUUGUUUCUAUGGCUCAAGAUGAAUGAAUAUAUUUGUGUUAACCCCUUCUGAAAGCUGCCAGGACUCCUGCAGUCGAAAAUCCUGCCAACCCACAAGGCUGACCCACGCCGAUCCAUCACUUAUCCGUGUAGUUCUUUCCUUGAAUGAACAGUUUAAGGAACCAAAAGUGCCAUUUCAACAGCAGAAGGGCAAAAGAGAAAUUUUCUGCUUUUUACGGAAUAAGGCAUAGAACCAAAUUGUUUUGCUUCAGUGGUACCACUGCAGGCAACUUGUCUUUUAGGAGACUUUGGAACUGAAUCAACUGUUCCCUACAGUGGAAAAUAAUUUCCUCCCAGCUUUCCCAAGAUGCCAAAGAUGCAUUCAGAGCUAAAUUCCAGGUACGCACCAGCCUCGAGAGGCCAAGUUGCCAGGAGCUGAUGUGCUGCUGAUCUGCUGCAUGUGUCUGGCAAGAGAACAGGGUGCCACUGUUAGAUGUGGUGCAUCCAUUGCCUUUAACCAACACUGGAAACUGGGUACACACCUGCAAAGGACAGUUUAGCAAUCCAACCUGUGCCCACAGUGCCCUGCUGCUGAUUUGGUGCAGCUUAUACUUCUAAAAUCAAAACUAAAUGCUUUGUCACAAGUUGUAAUUGGAAAUUUUAGGCCUCCUAGUGGACUGCAGUGGACCAGGACUUAACUGGAGCAGCAGUUUGUUUUAUGGCUUACUGUAAUUGUUACCGGCCCCUGGGAAUAUUCUGUAUAAUACUGGAGAUGCAAGUGUAAGAAAAAGUGUCACUGCAAUGAUGAUUUGUCUGUGCAGCAAACUUGUGCUGAGUGCUGUAAAUACAUUCAUGUUUACUGCUUUAAAAAGAAAAUUGCACAUUUUAUCUUUUAAUGGGAUUGCCUCCCCUCUUCUUCCCUUUCCAAAAAGAAAAAUCAAAGCUCUUUUAGACUGAUAGUUUCAGGUUGGGGGGAGCUUUGCCAUAUUAUAAAUAUAUAUAAAUAUAUGUAUAAAUAUACUUUUUUAAGCAUGAGAGAGGACAAAAGAAAUACUACAUUAUAGAAUACCCAAUAUAGAUCAUUAUACAAUGGAAUAUGCACAAUUCAAUAAAGAUGUAGUUAAAUUUAAUAACCUGUUUUAA
Molecule: long non-coding RNA, 2023 nt
Organism: Manacus vitellinus (golden-collared manakin)
Lineage: Eukaryota; Metazoa; Chordata; Aves; Passeriformes; Pipridae
Source: Ensembl